AUUAAAUCAGUGUAAAAAGGUCUUCAAACAAUAUUAUCGUUUAUCGCAAUAAUUUUUGAGACAAUUAAUCGUUCAGCAAAAUUUGCUAUAGUGACAGGCCUAUCAGUAGCUGAUUUUAAACUGGAGAUCUCCAGUUCUGCUGAACUAAUGAACCGAAAUCCUCUGCAGGUCUUCCUCUCCAUCCUCCUCAUCCUCAUCCUCUCCUGUCCUUACCUUUCAGCCAUUCCUCCAGUCCUGAUUAAAGUUUUUCAUCUCGUUAAUUUGCUUCAUUCCUCUUUUUCGCCACUCAUUUUUCUAACUUCUACCCGAUUUAUUUCUACAUCCAGUCUCUGUUGCAGCUGCUCUCAUACCACUCAUCCCUGACCAGCUGUUCUAACUAUCUGUGCUGCCCAUCGAUCUGUGCUACCUGGUGGUGAUGACACGAACAUCACCUUCUGCUGACUCAGCAGAUUUCUUAUCCUUCCUGUGGAAGAUUUGUCUCGUGUUUUAUUUCAUCGCAGAUUACAGUAAGUAUUAUUUCAUUUCUUUUAUUCCAGGCUUUCAUUAAGCUGCUGAAUUACUUCAUGUUUUUACUUUACAUGACAGCAGCUUAUAAAUUUAUCUAUAAAUGGUUUUAGUUUGCCGUCUGCAAAGUGGUUACAGUAAACAAGUUAUUGUUAAUCAGGAUAAAAUAUGUUGUUUUGUAGCUUUUUUGUCCAUAUACUUUAAAACAUUUUAGUUUAAUUGUACUCUUUUUUUUAUUAAACUUUGCUAAAACUUAAUAAAAAGUUAAGUGAUGAUGAGAUAUAUUAAUCAUAUCCCAUCAUUGUGGCUGCUGCUAAUAACAGAAGCUAUGAAACGGAUCAAAGAAUCACUGAUCUGUAUUAGUCUUUCAUUUAAUUCCAAUAAAAACCUGCUUCCCCUGAUCCGGUUUUAUUCUUACAAAUCUCUGUAUUUCAAAUAGUUUCAACAGGUAGGAUAAAAGGAUUAGUGCAAACAUCUCCAGCUUUUCAUUUUAAACAGAAGGAAUGAGACGAGGACUCACCACUAAGCUGCGCGUUGCUUCCUGUGGGAGAGAAAGCAGAUAAUCAGUUCCGGUUCCGACCCGACGGCUUCUUCCUCCGGGCGCGGCCGGGGAAUUUUCAAGAACAGAGCAGGAAUUCAACUUAUUUAAAUUGCAGGUAAACAGGAAAAGGCGAUGAUGAUGUCAGCUGCGCCUCGACAUGCAGCAUAAUUUAGAUUAAUGUUAGAUAGUAGAGAAAUGAAAACGUUCGUUGGUUUGACUGUCAUUUAUUAAUUUCAGUGAAUAAAAGGUAAAUCGAAAAGGAAGAACUGGAAACAUUCAGGCUGUUUUACUGGGCUCCAGUUGAAACGACUGGUGUUCAUUUCCUCUAAAUAAAAACCGGUUUUCUGUUUCAUCAGAUCUUUGCCGGUUCCUUUGUGUUUUAUUUCUGUUCAUGUUUGAGUUUCAUGACGUUUUUCUUCAGUCCUGGUUCCUCCUGUUUCCCGUUGCUCAGAAACCGGUGAGCUCGUCUCCUCCCUUUUCACUCCCUCAAUGAGUUUUUCUCUAAAUUUACUUUUUUUUUUUAUCAAACUGGUUUUUGUUGCUUUUUGGUCUCUGUGCAUCACAUGACAGUUUGGUGAAGAAAAGAUUACAUUUGAACCUUAAAUUGUUAGAAAUUCAUUCAGGGACCCGAGAUUAAAACAUAUUAUUAGAAAUGUGGGAACAGACGAUCCUUAAUUUAAAUCCUUGUGAGCAAUAAUGAAUACCUGAAUAAAAUCAAAGCUUUAAUGUAGUUUGGAAAUCGGAACUUUGAGUUUAAAUGCCCUCAGUUUCGCUCUGACUUGUUUAAAUGCCCGACUUUCAGGUUUGGACUCUGCUGAAUGAAGCUGGAAGCGUCCAUGUUGGUGUGGGGCGGGGAUCACAAGGUUCAACUGGUUGGGCUGGUUUCAGCUUGAAGGCAGACUCUGUUUUCUGAGAAGUUUAUUGUUGACUCUAACUCAUUGUUUGGAGUUUCAGGUAUUUUUGCAUCUAAACCAUCUUGGAUCAAGAUUUCCCAGAAUCCACUCUGUCACCGGCAGACGAAGCGCAGAGAAGAAUUCAAACAUGUUCAGGUCCAACAUCGCAUGAUAACGACAACUGGCUGCUUCUCCUCAUCCUGCACAUUAUCUGACAGAAAAUAAAAUAAUAUAAAAAGUUA
This is a long non-coding RNA of Xiphophorus couchianus (Monterrey platyfish), 2180 nucleotides long. RefSeq lists it as uncharacterized. The record is from RefSeq and is a predicted model, not a curated record. The transcript is spliced from 2 exons. NCBI's taxonomy places the organism in Eukaryota, Metazoa, Chordata, Actinopteri, Cyprinodontiformes, Poeciliidae.